CUGAACUCCUACUGUCAGAAAGCAGUGCCUUUGCAAUCAUUCAGAUUUCAGAAUUGAAAAAGAAAAUUUGGAUAUUUAUUAGCCUUUGGUCUUGACCUUCUGCUUGGUCUUCUUCGUGAAGGGGAAGGUGUUGCAGCUCGUGUCCUGGAGAAUUUGGGUGUAGAUGCUAGCAACAUACGGACACAGGUAAUGCCGAGUCUGUUUUUUAGAAAUGUCGAGUCUGUUUGUUGUUGUCUUUGUUUGUCUCUCGUCUGAUCACGCUUUGUAAUUCAUCAAUCGUUUGGUUAAGUUAUAAAACUUGAACUUGUUGUUGUCU
This is a long non-coding RNA of Brassica oleracea var. oleracea, 316 nucleotides long. RefSeq lists it as uncharacterized. The record is from RefSeq and is a predicted model, not a curated record. The transcript has 2 exons. NCBI's taxonomy places the organism in Eukaryota, Viridiplantae, Streptophyta, Magnoliopsida, Brassicales, Brassicaceae.